Anguilla rostrata (American eel) is the source of this 1286-nucleotide long non-coding RNA. RefSeq lists it as uncharacterized. The transcript has 2 exons. Lineage: Eukaryota; Metazoa; Chordata; Actinopteri; Anguilliformes; Anguillidae. The record is from RefSeq and is a predicted model, not a curated record.
GCUGCUGCAGUGAUGGAUGCUAAGAAGCUUAUAUACAGCAAAGCAAAAAUACAAGCUGACAUGGCUCUUUCAAUAACUAGAGUCAACCUUGGAAUUUCCUCAGUGGCGUCAACUGGCCUGUGUUCUAAUGGACCUUGCUGGAGGGUGCGACCUCAACGAAGGUGUGGGUGGGGUUGAGGACGAAGGAGGAGACAAACACAGAAUUUGGAAGGGCCGCAACAAACCUGUAUAGUACACAUUUAAUCCAGGCCUGGAUAUCACUCAUGUAUCAUUAUCAGUAAUACACUACUGUUAUUUUAAAACGUGCUUUAAUCAAUCAAACUUAUUACUGCAGUAAAAUGGCGCAGUUUCUUUGGGGUCCAUAAAAAUAAUAAAUAUAUAAAAAUCUCUUUAAUAUGUAUUCAUAUGUAAAUGAAUCGUUAUAGAAAGCACAGUAAUUACCAAACACUUCAUUAACACCUUUUAGGUGUGUACCUGUUCCUGCGCAAGCCAUGUUAAUUAGGAAUUAGUGUGGGACUCAUUUGUAGAUUCAACAGAAAUGCAAAGCACAAUGAUGAAGAUCGCACUUAUUAGUCUUGAAUUGUUGACACUUAUUGCACAAUUAUAACCAACAAUUUAAAGGUGCUAAUUCUAAUUUAUAAUGAAUACUGAACACUGAGCAUUUUUAAUGUAUCCUUCAUACCAGAAUAACAAGUAAGACAAGCAUUUUCAUUCUGCAAUAAUUAUAUAAAAUAUUUUUGUUGGCUGCUGUUUAAAAAAACACUUCUGUUGUAGACUGUCAGGGAAAUUUGGGAACAAAUUUACCCCAGUGUUCUUCCCAAAUUGAAGGUAUGAACCAAUUUUUUUUAAUUAGCAAAGGUCUCAUUGAAAUGCAACUGUGCGAGUGUCAUGGUUGGGUGCUUUUAUGUAUGCACUUGGAAAUGUUAAGUUUAAGGCUGGAAAUUGGAAGGGUCUACAGUCUUAUUAAAGUGCGAGCAGGAGCUUUUGUUUAAGUAAUCCACUUUCUUCAUUUCAGAGUGGAAUAAGUAUUUUACUUCAGAGCACCUUUGUUGUAAAGCUCUAGAUGGUGGUGCCCAUGGUACUCAUAUGUUGUUUUUUUGUUGUUGUUUUUUUUUUAUUUAAAUUUUUGUAUAAUGUAGAGUACAUCAUUUAAACUAAUAUUAAAAAUGCAAGGAACAAAUGUAAAUGUGACCGAGAGAGGCCUUUCAUAACUUCUGAAUGAAGUGUUUCACCACGUUUACAUAUUUGAAUGUCUGCUGAUUCUGGUAGUAAAAUGUUUCAAAUGA